UACAAAAAGGUGCGAGCGUUAUUCAUAGUUAUUGGGCGUAAAGGGUAUGUAGGCGGAGCUUUAAAUUUGGUCAAAAAUGCUGGAGUAGUAACUUAAGCAGUGGACUUUUAGAUUUUUUUCUCUACGAGUUAAUGUCAGGUCGGAGGAACUUCCAGCGGAAAGGUAGAAUUUUACUAUUCUGGACGGAACACCUAAGGCAAAAGGCAUCCCCUCCAGAGUUAACUGACGCUGAGGUACGGAAGCGUAGGGAGCAAACAGG
This 259-nucleotide ribosomal RNA is filed under the name uncultured bacterium. Its description in RNAcentral is "partial 16S ribosomal RNA". It matches the Rfam family "Bacterial small subunit ribosomal RNA", at positions 524 to 776 of the family's 1533-position model. The record is from RNAcentral.